UUAAAGUUGGUGCGUGACUUUGGCAUCAGCGCCGUUGAGGAAAUUGUAGAUGACGAAGACAAUUUUUCAGUAGAAACUUAUAAAUUUGACAAAGAUGGUUAUUCUAAAGCAGAUAAUGCAACAGCAGUCUUGGCAAGUGGAGUUGCCAGUAGCAUGAGUGUUAUACAUCUUCAAAGAUGUGCUGUCCACACUUUACAGCUAGCCAUAAAUAAUGCAUUGAAAAGGCCACAAUAAUCCAACUAACCAUGCCAGAGAUGUUGUCAAAACUCCAAGAAAUUUGAAGUGGAUUGACUUCUUCAGGGACCAGACUCAACAUCUCAUUCCAAUUUUAGAUCAGGCUACCCGUUGGUCUAGCCAGUUCAAUAUGAUUGAGAGGCUAAUUAAGAUUCGACCUGUAAAUCAAAAUCUAAAUAUGCAAAAAGAGGCUUCUAAAGAAUUUCAUGUGCAACCAUGUUUUUGGGGUAUGUGGGAGGAAUUGAAAAAUGUAUUGCAUAUGGCAUGCAAUCUUACUAUUCGUCUUCAAAGUGAAAAUAUCACCGCAGGCGAAUUCAAUAAUUUUUGAUUGGAAUUCAAUAAAGUGUGAACUUUACGGGAAGGACAGGAACUUAGCCAAAGAUUUCUAAAAAGGAAGGAAUAAUAGAGAAAGUGCACUACAUAAAAAUCUGUUGUUUCUUGCAGCAGUUUACAUUGAUAUUAGGCAUGGCUGUAUGCUAACAGCGACUGAAGACAAGAUAACUGCAGCUGAUGGACUUUAGAAAAUACAUUACAAACUGAUUCAACUCGCUAAUGAAAAUAAGAAUAAUGAACUCAAUAAAACCAAAAAAGCAGUAGAGCGCAACUCUUUUGCAAUUUAUGUGUCAGACUCUAGUUCAGAAAAUGAGGAGAAUGCUUCACCAGUCGCAAAGCGUCGACCAAAUUUAUUUAAGUUGUGUGAACAGGAGGUUCAAGAAAAUUUUUCAGAAGAACAAAUGCAGGUUUAACUAGAUGUAAUUGAAAAGGAGUUUCGACUAGCUGUAAAAUUAAUUCCGGAAAUCCGUUCAAUGUAUAAAGACAAAUCAUCCAACUUAGACAAGUUUUAAAAACUUAACCCAGUUGUACGGGAUGCCUGCCAUGUCGCUUUGUCGCUACCCAUAUCCUAAGUCAGUGUCAAGAGUCUAUUUUCAGUCUUAAAGCACAUGACACCAGACUAUUGUAGUUGAUUUACAUCUGAUUUAAUUGAUCAUAUGCUUUU
Hydra vulgaris (swiftwater hydra) is the source of this 1231-nucleotide non-coding RNA. NCBI's taxonomy places the organism in Eukaryota, Metazoa, Cnidaria, Hydrozoa, Anthoathecata, Hydridae. The record is from RefSeq and is a predicted model, not a curated record.